RNAcentral lists this ribosomal RNA (133 nucleotides) under Pseudomonas aeruginosa. Its description in RNAcentral is "partial 16S ribosomal RNA". The stretch from base 41 to 133 matches the Rfam family "Bacterial small subunit ribosomal RNA", at positions 1 to 92 of the family's 1533-position model. RNAcentral also lists the same sequence under 1 other name. The record is from RNAcentral. Lineage: Bacteria; Pseudomonadati; Pseudomonadota; Gammaproteobacteria; Pseudomonadales; Pseudomonadaceae.
UGAGCCAAGUUUAGGGUUUUCUCAAAACCCAAGCAGUAUUGAACUGAAGAGUUUGAUCAUGGCUCAGAUUGAACGCUGGCGGCAGGCCUAACACAUGCAAGUCGAGCGGAUGAAGGGAGCUUGCUCCUGGAUU